RNAcentral lists this small RNA (739 nucleotides) under Histoplasma capsulatum. RNAcentral describes it as "hypothetical RNA". Lineage: Eukaryota; Fungi; Ascomycota; Eurotiomycetes; Onygenales; Ajellomycetaceae. RNAcentral also lists the same sequence under 1 other name. The record is from RNAcentral.
GCUCGUUGCGGUAGCCAAUAACUAAUACAUUAUAUAUAAGAAAGCGAAAGAAUGUAAUAUCUAUAUCAGGCAACCUAAAAUAUAACGGUUUACACCAUAAUCAUGACGAUCAUCAAGGGGGAAAACUGGCCCCGGGUAGACGCUCUCAUGUAUUUAGAGACAUAGCAAAUAUUUGUCAAAAGUCAUAUACCAACAUUGCCCAAUGUCGAGAUUCAUACGAACAUACAUAUACAUAUGACCUGGGCACAAGAUAGCCAAUGGCGAUAUACAAUUCAAGGAAGAAAGAAAAGGGGGGAGGGCAGGGAGCAUGAAGAAAGGAAAGGAGAAGCGCAGCGGAUUCUCAAAGGCAGCAGAUGAAAAUAAAUAGUGAAGAGAAAAUCCGGAUCCGUGGACCGAGGAUAUAUACAGAAAAUAAUAACAAAUAAAGGAAGGUCACAUCCCCUAGACCCAUGUUUCUGCGCAGCAUAGUAUGUUUCAUGUAAAGGGGAUCGUGAAUAAUCUAUAGAAAAAAUUUUUUCUAAUUUGCUGAAAAGAGGUUAAGGUGGAGAGGAACCUUCGUGCGUAUGGUUAUUUCAUACGCAAGACUGUGCAAAGAACGUCGGGAUGUACGUUAGCCACUAUGGGCUACAUAAACUGAGAGUCAAGGUGACUUUGCGGAGUAACGAGGGCUUCCCGGCCGGAAAAUUAAGGAGAUUGGCAGGUUGGUCGUUACCAGGGUGACAUAGCAAACCGAAACCCA